RNAcentral lists this ribosomal RNA (258 nucleotides) under Triticum aestivum (bread wheat). RNAcentral describes it as "partial small subunit ribosomal RNA". The record is from RNAcentral. Lineage: Eukaryota; Viridiplantae; Streptophyta; Magnoliopsida; Poales; Poaceae.
AUGAGCAAUUAUGUGAAGCUAAAUGUGGAUGGGGCUUUUGAUCCAGACUUACUCAAGGGUUCGUAUGACGCUGUUAUCAGGGACUCGAAUGGCAGAUUCGUUGCGGCAGGAAACGAAGAUAUCGAUUGGUGCGGAGAUGCGCUUAUCGCCGAGGCACUGGUCUUAUGGUUUGGUCUCAAUUUGGCAAUUACAGUCGGGUGUAACCGCAUAGAAGUGAACUCUGACAACAUCGAGGUGAUAGAGACAAUAAAGAAUUGA